RNAcentral lists this ribosomal RNA (772 nucleotides) under Paraphysomonas vestita. Its description in RNAcentral is "partial Bacterial large subunit ribosomal RNA". It matches the Rfam family "Bacterial large subunit ribosomal RNA", at positions 1 to 825 of the family's 2925-position model. Lineage: Eukaryota; Chrysophyceae; Chromulinales; Paraphysomonadaceae. The record is from RNAcentral.
GUCAAGUGAAUAAGAGCACGUGGUGGAUGCCUUGGCAAUGAUAGGCGACGAAGGACGUGAUAGCCUGCGAUAAGCUUCGGGGAGCUGGCAAAUUAGCUUUGAUCCGGAGAUUUCCGAAUGGGGAAACCCACCGAAAGGUAUCGUUAUCUGAAUACAUAGGGUAACGAGGCGAACCGGGUGAACUGAAACAUCUCAGUAGCUCGAGGAAAAGACAUCAACCGAGAUUCCGAAAGUAGUGGCGAGCGAAAUCGGAGAAGCCUGUUAGUGAUAGCACAAGACAUAACGGAACAGCUUGGAAAGGCUGGCCAUAGCGGGUGAUAGCCCCGUACGUGAAAUGACCUGUGUGGUACUGAGCUAACGACAAGUAGGGCGGGACACGAGAAAUCCUGUCUGAAUAUGGGGGGACCAUCCUCCAAGGCUAAAUACUCAUCAUUGACCGAUAGUGAACUAGUACCGUGAGGGAAAGGCGAAAAGAACCCCGGGAGGGGAGUGAAAUAGAUCCUGAAACCGCAUGCAUACAAACAGUCGGAGCCUGGAAACGGGUGACGGCGUACCUUUUGUAUAAUGGGUCAGCGACUUACAUUCAGUGGCAAGCUUAACCGAUUAGGGAAGGCGUAGCGAAAGCGAGUCCGAAUAGGGCGUUCAGUCGCUGGGUGUAGACCCGAAACCAAGUGAUCUAUCCAUGGCCAGGAUGAAGGUGCCGUAACAGGUACUGGAGGUCCGAACCGACUAGUGUUGCAAAACUAGCGGAUGAGCUGUGGAUAGGGGUGAA